GAUGAACGCUGGCGGCGUGCUUAACACAUGCAAGUCGAACGGGAAUUCUUUUAUUGAAACUUCGGUCGAUUUAAUUUAAUUCUAGUGGCGGACGGGUGAGUAACGCGUGGGUAACCUGCCUUAUACAGGGGGAUAACAGUCAGAAAUGGCUGCUAAUACCGCAUAAGCGCACAGAGCUGCAUGGCUCAGUGUGAAAAACUCCGGUGGUAUAAGAUGGACCCGCGUUGGAUUAGCUUGUUGGCAGGGUAACGGCCUACCAAGGCGACGAUCCAUAGCCGGCCUGAGAGGGUGAACGGCCACAUUGGGACUGAGACACGGCCCAGACUCCUACGGGAGGCAGCAGUGGGGAAUAUUGCACAAUGGGGGAAACCCUGAUGCAGCGACGCCGCGUGAAGGAAGAAGUAUCUCGGUAUGUAAACUUCUAUCAGCAGGGAAGAUAGUGACGGUACCUGACGAAGAAGCCCCGGCUAACUACGUG
RNAcentral lists this ribosomal RNA (478 nucleotides) under uncultured bacterium. Its description in RNAcentral is "partial 16S ribosomal RNA". It matches the Rfam family "Bacterial small subunit ribosomal RNA", at positions 28 to 507 of the family's 1533-position model. The record is from RNAcentral.